This 63-nucleotide transfer RNA is filed under the name Biomphalaria tenagophila. RNAcentral's name for it is "tRNA-Val". Lineage: Eukaryota; Metazoa; Mollusca; Gastropoda; Planorbidae. The record is from RNAcentral.
GAAAAUAAAGUACUAAGUAUUUCUUAUUUACAAUAAGAAGGUCUAGAUUUUUUAGUAUUUUCA